Molecule: long non-coding RNA, 1688 nt
Organism: Eriocheir sinensis (Chinese mitten crab)
Lineage: Eukaryota; Metazoa; Arthropoda; Malacostraca; Decapoda; Varunidae
Exons: 6
Source: RefSeq, a predicted model, not a curated record
CUCAACUCACCUGCGCAUCUGGCUUCGUCUCCCUCACCUGCCUUGGCCACACCUCCACCUGGCCUUGAUGGGAACACGAGGAUAGUCGUUUUAUUCCUUGCGUUUUACUGCUGCGGCGGAGCAAGAUACACCUGGUCACAUCCACAGGAUCUCUCAAUCUUCUCACUUUCACGGCGUUGCUAAGAUACGGCGCCAAACACUUACGACAGAACAACGACAACACAUCACGUAACGCGUUCUGAAAACACCGAAAAAUAAAGAAAUAAUGAACAAUACGAAUCGGAGGAGGAGGGAGAGGAACCAAAAAGAGGACACGGUCGACAAAACCAACAGCGCCGAGGUUUGGGUAUUGAAUAAGGGGACAGAGGUAAACACGAGAGUAGCAGACAGGCACGGAGGGCUUAAUAGACAGGUAGACAGGUAGGGGAGAAGCCGGACAGGUAAACACACACACCAGACCGAGGAAACAAGCAAAGGUGAUGUAGGGGGAAGAGGAGGUGAAAGAGGACGAGGAUUAGGAAGAGGAGGAGAAGAGGAAGUGAGUGAGAGGGAGUGGAGUGCAAGCCUAUCACAGCAUGAAGAGAAGAAAGGAGAGAAAGGGAGAAGGAGAGCAAGACUGAGAAAAAGGAGUUGGAAAAAUGCAAGAAAAAAUAAAUCGGGAAGAGAGAAACGUUAACGAAGAGACGGAGAGGUGAAGAGAGGUUACGAUACACACUAACUCAUAAUGAAAAGAUGUAUAAUGGGAAGUAGAAAAGAAGGAAACAGAGAAAAUAAAGAGCAGAACACCACACAUGAGAAGGAUGAGGAGGUUUAGGAAAAUGGAGAACACAAGGAAAACUACGCUAGAGUAACACAAGAAGACGACGAUUAACUGUAAAGAGAGGAAGAGGAGAUAUAGGAGAACAAGGAACAGAGGUGCAUGGAUAGAAGUAACCAGAUAUACCUCACUACAGUUACACGAGACGAAGAGAAAAGGAGGAGGAGGAGGAAGAAGAGAAGGACUAGGAAGAGAAAUACAAGUGCAGUGGAGUCAAGAACAAGGCUGAUAAUACGUCCACUCCUAUACGCCCACAUGAGACAGGUCUCACCGAAGCACUUCAAGUUGAGGUCUUCCCCGCCCCGCCGCCGCCACCGCCCAAUGAACGAACGCUUAGUGAGUGUUUGACGGGGCUUGGGGAUGCUGCGGCUCUCCGGCUGACUAGGGUUCCUUCCUCCUGCUGUCGCUGUGGCCUGCUGGUGCUGUCUCGUUCAUCUUAGGUACACGACGCUAACAAGCAACAGUGGCAGCGGCAGCGACGAGGAACUUGACUGACUUGACUGGAGGGCUGACUGGCUGGCUUGCUGGUUGGGUCACCAGGGGCGCCUCAUACACAGGGACAGCACCACCACCCCCACGGCGUCCUGGACUCUCCAAACCUCGACCAGCUGCGUCAUGAGAACGGAAGCCUCUCAGCCGCACGUCAUCCUCCAGCAUCUCAUCCACCCACCCGUCAAAGUCGAGGCGUCCAGUUCCCAGCAACAAGGAAGUGACGUCUGGGGCGUGGAGAGGAGGAAUAUACAAUGACUUGAACUGGGAACAGCAAUAUCACCACCCCCAAGGGGAGUGUACGACGUACACAGCAAGAGUUGAAAAUAAACUUUAUUGUUCAGACGUGCAGAGCAUGCAAUAUAAAAAGUUAUAAAUCGGU